Molecule: ribosomal RNA, 468 nt
Filed under: uncultured bacterium
Lineage: Bacteria
Description: partial 16S ribosomal RNA
Rfam family: Bacterial small subunit ribosomal RNA
Source: RNAcentral
GACGAACGCUGGCGGCGUGCUUAACACAUGCAAGUCGAACGGAAAGGCCCUGCUUUUGUGGGGUGCUCGAGUGGCGAACGGGUGAGUAACACGUGAGUAACCUGCCCUUGACUUUGGGAUAACUUCAGGAAACUGGGGCUAAUACCGGAUAGGUGCUCCUGCUGCAUGGUGGGGGUUGGAAAGUUUCGGCGGUUGGGGAUGGACUUGGGGCUUACCAGCUUGUUGGGGGGGGAGUGGCUUACCAAGGCUUUGACGGGUAGCCGGCCUGGGAGGGUGAUCGGCCACAUUGGGACUGAGAUACGGCCCAGACGCGUACGGGGGGCAGCAGUGGGGAAUAUUGCACAGUGGGCGGGAGCCUGAUGCAGCAACGCCGCGUGCGGGAUGACGGCCUUCGGGUUGUAAACCGCUUUCGCCUGUGACGAAGCGUGAGUGACGGUAAUGGGUAAAGAAGCACCGGCUAACUACGUG